This 832-nucleotide ribosomal RNA is filed under the name Dendryphion submersum. RNAcentral's name for it is "LSU rRNA". It matches the Rfam family "Eukaryotic large subunit ribosomal RNA", at positions 114 to 962 of the family's 3401-position model. The record is from RNAcentral. Lineage: Eukaryota; Fungi; Ascomycota; Dothideomycetes; Pleosporales; Torulaceae.
UUUGAAAUCUGGCCCCUUUGGGGUCCGAGUUGUAAUUUGCAGAGGGUGCUUUUGGUGUUGGCCGUGGUCUAAGUUCCUUGGAACAGGACGUCACAGAGGGUGAGAAUCCCGUACGUGGCCGCCGGCCCUCGCCUUGUAAAGCCCCUUCGACGAGUCGAGUUGUUUGGGAAUGCAGCUCUAAAUGGGAGGUAAAUUUCUUCUAAAGCUAAAUACCCGCCAGAGACCGAUAGCGCACAAGUAGAGUGAUCGAAAGAUGAAAAGCACUUUGGAAAGAGAGUGAAAAAGCACGUGAAAUUGUUGAAAGGGAAGCGCUUGCGGCCAGACGUGCCCGCGGUUGUUCAUCUGGGCUCUCGCCCGGUGCACUCCUCCGCGGGCAGGCCAGCAUCAGUUUGGGCGGUCGGACAAAGGUCUCUAUCACGUACCACCCCUCGGGGUGGCCUUAUAGGGGAGACGCAACACGGCCAGCCUGGACUGAGGUUCCGCGCAUCUGCUAGGAUGCUGGCGUAAUGGCAGCAAGCGGCCCGUCUUGAAACACGGACCAAGGAGUCUAACAUCUAUGCGAGUGUUUGGGUGUCAAGCCCGAGCGCGUAAUGAAAGUGAACGGAGGUGGGAACCCCUCGGGGCGCACCAUCGACCGAUCCUGAUGUCUUCGGAUGGAUUUGAGUAAGAGCAUAGCUGUUGGGACCCGAAAGAUGGUGAACUAUGCCUGAAUAGGGUGAAGCCAGAGGAAACUCUGGUGGAGGCUCGCAGCGGUUCUGACGUGCAAAUCGAUCGUCAAAUUUGGGCAUAGGGGCGAAAGACUAAUCGAACCAUCUAGUAGCUGGUUCCUGCC